RNAcentral lists this ribosomal RNA (585 nucleotides) under Russula sp. RNAcentral describes it as "partial small subunit ribosomal RNA". It matches the Rfam family "Bacterial small subunit ribosomal RNA", at positions 358 to 969 of the family's 1533-position model. The record is from RNAcentral. Lineage: Eukaryota; Fungi; Basidiomycota; Agaricomycetes; Russulales; Russulaceae.
AGAAUAUUAGUCAAUGCUCGAAAGAGUGAACUAGCUAACUGAAAUCAAUUAUAAAAUUGAUAACAUAAGGGAAAAUAAUGAUAUUACCUUAUUAUUAGUGUCGUCCAAAACUGGUGCCAGAAGACUCGGUAAGGCCAGAGACAUAAACGUUAAUCGUCUUAAUCAGGCGUAAAGGGUUUGUAGGCGGCUUUUAAUUUUACUUAUUUAAUUUUGUUUUUUUUUUUAAUUAAAAAUUAUAAGUACAGAAUAAAAGCUAGAAUCAAAUAGAGGAUAUAUCAAAUAAUGCUUAGAGUAGGUCUGAUAUCCUUAGAUACUAAGUAGAAUAUUAAAGGCGAAGGCUUUUUUCCAUUAAUGAUUGACGCUCAGAAACGAAGGUGAGGAUAGGAAAUAGGAUUAGAUACCCAAAAUACCCCUCUCUGUCAACGAUGAAUGGUAGUUAUUAGUAAUAAAUUAAUUAAUGACAAUGUUAACACGAUAACCAUUCCGCCUUGUGAGUACAACUGCAAAGUUGAAAACAAAAAAAUUAGUCGGUUUCGGAGCAAACGAAGUGAAGCAUGUUAUUUAAUUCGAUAAUCCGCAGGGAGG